This 18-nucleotide small nuclear RNA is filed under the name Arabidopsis thaliana (thale cress). RNAcentral's name for it is "snRNA_04340". Lineage: Eukaryota; Viridiplantae; Streptophyta; Magnoliopsida; Brassicales; Brassicaceae. The record is from RNAcentral.
AUUACAUAGGUAUGCCAU